Molecule: antisense RNA, 75 nt
Filed under: Streptomyces cellostaticus
Lineage: Bacteria; Bacillati; Actinomycetota; Actinomycetes; Kitasatosporales; Streptomycetaceae
Description: ASpks TB sRNA
Rfam family: ASpks TB sRNA
Source: Rfam by way of RNAcentral
CUUCACCGAGCCGAGCCACAGCGGCUGUUCCGCCGGCCGGUCCUGGCCGUAGGUGGCGAUCAGCGCCUGCGCCUC